CAGCAGCCGCGGGAAUACGAAGGGUGCAAGCGUUAACCGGAAUUACUGGGCGUAAAGCGCGCGUAGGUGGUUUGUUAAGUUGGAUGUGAAAUCCCCGGGCUCAACCUGGGAACUGCAUUCAAAACUGACUGACUAGAGUAUGGUAGAGGGUGGUGGAAUUUCCUGUGUAGCGGUGAAAUGCGUAGAUAUAGGAAGGAACACCAGUGGCGGAGGCGACCACCUGGACUAAUACUGACACUGAGGUGCGAAAGCGUGGGGAGCAAACAGGAUUAGAUACCCCAGUAGUCCCUGUCUCUUAUAC
RNAcentral lists this ribosomal RNA (301 nucleotides) under uncultured bacterium. RNAcentral describes it as "partial 16S ribosomal RNA". It matches the Rfam family "Bacterial small subunit ribosomal RNA", at positions 509 to 807 of the family's 1533-position model. The record is from RNAcentral.